This 46-nucleotide non-coding RNA is filed under the name Trichobilharzia regenti. Lineage: Eukaryota; Metazoa; Platyhelminthes; Trematoda; Strigeidida; Schistosomatidae. The record is from RNAcentral.
GUGCUGAUGAAGAGUCCAAAACUAGGACGAAACAGCUGUUCAGUAC